UCCUACGGGACGCAGCAGUGGGGAAUAUUGCACAAUGGGGGAAACCCUGAUGCAGCGACGCCGCGUGAGUGAAGAAGUAUUUCGGUAUGUAAAGCUCUAUCAGCAGGGAAGAAAAUGACGGUACCUGACUAAGAAGCCCCGGCUAACUACGUGCCAGCAGCCGCGGUAAUACGUAGGGGGCAAGCGUUGUCCGGAUUUACUGGGUGUAAAGGGCGUGCAGCCGGGAAGACAAGUCAGAUGUGAAAUCCCGCGGCUCAACCGCGGAACUGCAUUUGAAACUGUUUUUCUUGAGUACCGGAGAGGUC
RNAcentral lists this ribosomal RNA (305 nucleotides) under uncultured bacterium. RNAcentral's name for it is "bacterial SSU rRNA". It matches the Rfam family "Bacterial small subunit ribosomal RNA", at positions 337 to 659 of the family's 1533-position model. The record is from RNAcentral.